This 800-nucleotide ribosomal RNA is filed under the name uncultured bacterium. RNAcentral's name for it is "bacterial SSU rRNA". It matches the Rfam family "Bacterial small subunit ribosomal RNA", at positions 8 to 843 of the family's 1533-position model. The record is from RNAcentral.
AGAGUUUGAUCCUGGCUCAGAAUCAACGCUGGCGGCGCGCUUAACACAUGCAAGUCGAACGAGAAAGGGAGCAAUCCUGAGUAAAGUGGCGUACGGGUGAGUAACACGUGGAUCAUAUGCCUUUUAGUGGGGAAUAACUUUGGGAAACCGAAGCUAAUACCGCAUAAUCCCGAGAGGGGAAAGCAGCAAUGCGCUGAAAGAGUAGUCCGCGGCUGAUUAGCUAGUUGGUGAGGUAAUGGCUCACCAAGGCUGUGAUCGGUAGCCGGCCUGAGGGGGCACACGGCCACACUGGCACUGAAACACGGGCCAGACUCCUACGGGAGGCAGCAGUGGGGAAUCUUGCACAAUGGACGAAAGUCUGAUGCAGCGACGCCGCGUGAGCGAUGAAGCCCUUCGGGGUGUAAAGCUCUUUCGACAGGAACGAUAAUGACGGUACCUGGAGAAGAAGCUGCGGCUAACUACGUGCCAGCAGCCGCGGUAAUACGUAGGCAGCAAGCGUUGUUCGGAAUUACUGGGCGUAAAGCGUGCGUAGGCGGUGCUACAAGUUCGGUGUGAAAUCUCCCGGCUCAACUGGGAGGGUGCGCCGAAAACUGUAGUGCUCGAGUGUGGGAGAGGUAAGCGGAAUUCCUGGUGUAGCGGUGAAAUGCGUAGAUAUCAGGAGGAACACCGGCGGUGUAGACGGCUUACUGGACCAUAACUGACGCUGAGGCACGAAAGUGUGGGUAGCAAACAGGAUUAGAUACCCUGGUAGUCCACACCCUAAACGAUGCAUACUUGGUGUGAGCCAUUCAUUUGGUUCG